This 400-nucleotide ribosomal RNA is filed under the name phytoplankton environmental sample. Its description in RNAcentral is "partial small subunit ribosomal RNA". It matches the Rfam family "Eukaryotic small subunit ribosomal RNA", at positions 587 to 988 of the family's 1831-position model. The record is from RNAcentral.
AGCUCCAAAAGCGUAUAUUAAAGUUGUUGCGGUUAAAAAGCUCGUAGUUGGAUCUCAGGGAGGUGCACGCGGUUGGCCCGCGUGGUCUUACUUGCGUGCGCUUCUCACCGACCGCUGGUCGCGGGUGCUCUUUAUUGAGUGUUCGUCGACUGCGGCCACGUUUACUUUGAAAAAAUUAGAGUGUUCAAAGCAGGCGUCUUUUCGCCCGCAUACCCCAGCAUGGAAUAAUGGAAUAGGAGGCUGAUUCUAUUUCGUUGGUUUUCGGAAUCUAGCCUAAUGGUUAAGAGGGACAGCCGGGGGCAUUCGUAUUGUGGCGUUAGAGGUGAAAUUCUUAGAUCGCCGCAAGACGAACAAGUGCGAAAGCAUUUGCCAAGAAUGUUUUCAUUAAUCAAGAACGAAA